RNAcentral lists this transfer RNA (73 nucleotides) under Equus caballus (horse). Its description in RNAcentral is "tRNA-Val (GAC) (tRNA-Val-GAC-2-1)". It matches the Rfam family "tRNA". From Rfam's summary of the family: Transfer RNA (tRNA) molecules are approximately 80 nucleotides in length. Their secondary structure includes four short double-helical elements and three loops (D, anti-codon, and T loops). The record is from Rfam by way of RNAcentral. Lineage: Eukaryota; Metazoa; Chordata; Mammalia; Perissodactyla; Equidae.
GUUUCCGUAGUGUAGUGGUCAUCAUGCUCACCUGACACGCGAGAGGUCCUUGGUUCAAAACCGAGCGGAAACA